CGUAGCGCAGCGGGUGGCAGAUGGCCACGUAGCGGUCAUAGGCCAUGGCGGCCAGCAGGAAGCACUCGGCCCCGCCCAGCGCCACGAACAUCUGCAUCUGAACGGCGCAGCCCAGGAACGAGAUGGGGCUGCCCCUGCCGAGGCUGGGCGAAGCCAGGUCGGCCAGCGAGCGGGGCACGACCACCAGCGUGUAGCAGAGCUCGAUGGAUGACAGCUGGCACAGGAAGAGCAGCAUGGGCGGCCGUCUGGGAACCGAGGCCACGGCCACCAGGAUGAGCAGGUUCCCACUCAGGGUGGCCAGGUGCACUGCCAGCAGCAGCAGGAAGAGCGCCAGCCUCAGAGAGACGGAUGACUUGGAGAUGAGUGGAGAGGAGACGCCGAUGAUGGUGACCGGAGUUCUUCUAUUGAAGAUAAUGUAGAGUGUUGAAUGAUGGUCGUACGGGAAGCAGAAGAAUCCUCCUGUCUCCCCUUCUUCAAAAGUAUAAGGAGCUGCACCAGAGGAUGGAAGUGAGGGCAGAACCCAACCCUAUGGGAGAGAAGACAG
This 544-nucleotide long non-coding RNA is filed under the name Rhinolophus ferrumequinum (greater horseshoe bat). RNAcentral describes it as "lncRNA (ENSRFEG00010008161.1)". Lineage: Eukaryota; Metazoa; Chordata; Mammalia; Chiroptera; Rhinolophidae. The record is from RNAcentral.